Long non-coding RNA from Mustela lutreola (European mink), 3508 nucleotides. RefSeq lists it as uncharacterized. The transcript has 6 exons. The record is from RefSeq and is a predicted model, not a curated record. Lineage: Eukaryota; Metazoa; Chordata; Mammalia; Carnivora; Mustelidae.
AAAAAAAAAAAAGAUGAAGAAUACUUUCGGUGACCAAUUGUCUUGAUGUGCCUGGGACUGAGGCGUUGCCCCGGAAAGUACUGUGAUGUUGAUUAGUCUCUGGGAAAUUUGGGGAAGUGCAGUCCCUGAGUUUAGGCUCUAGCACAAGCAGGGGGAGCAGCAGACAGAGGGUGAGGGAGAAGCACAUUCCCCGAGGGAGAAGCAGAGAGCCUGAUGCAGGACUCAUCCUAGGACCUGAGCGGAAGGCAGAUGCUUAACAGACUGAGCCACCCAUGCGCCCCUCUUUUGACUUUUUUAACUGAUAAUGUACUUCUUAUUGCUGGCAGCUGAGCCUGAAGAGGUUUAAGUGAACAUGUGGGACUUCUGCUUACAGGCGACUGACUCAGCCCCUAGGAACCACUAUUCUGUUCCGUUUCUGGGAGUUUGACAGUAAAGGAGAUGAUCUUCCAUAAUGCAGCUGGGCCUCAUCCAGUCAACAGGGCCUCAUCCAGUCAACAGAAGGUCAAAAGAACAGAAGACUGAGGUUUCCCAAAGAAGAAUUCCAUCUCAAGGCUCGAGUUUCCAGCCUGCUGGCUUUACAAAAGUUUUGCUUACCCGCCCCCUAAUCAUGGCACACACGUGUUCUUCCUCUUGGGGACCUGCUGGACCCCGGAAGUUGCGGGGAAACACUGCAGUUGCCAUCUGAGCUGGUGCUCUUGCUGCUCUACCCUGGUUAGGCCCGAUUCUUCAUCAUUGCCUGGCUUAGGCUCCUGGGCUGGGCACAGCAAGGAAGUCACUGUCUUUGGAUUUUCAGGACACCUGGAGUUUCCUUAGACUUCCUUUAUGCCGUCUAACCUCUGCCCCCUGCCACCUAGACUCCCCCUCCCAGGUGUUGCCGGUGGCUGAACUUUUAGUUCAGAAUAAAACCAAGCCAUUUUAUUAAUUGUUGCAAAGCCUAGGAUGACAAAUGAGCCCCGACACUGAAACCUCUGAGCUGUCUAGAUUUUGACUAAAUCUUUGAACCUGAGGGCAAAUUUAUUUUGGAAAUUACUGACUUCUGAGAGGAAGAGGGAAUAGCAGAUGAAAUGUUGUAGACCUCAAGACACUACUGAUACUACUAGAGAGUAUCAGUUAAGAUACUCUUAAGACACUACAAUACUCUUAAGAUAUACUUAAGACACUACUGAUAAAACUACUAGAGAUGUCAUCCAAGGGGAAAAGGUAAUGAAACUCUCAAGAUAAGCGUAUUCAGCAAGGAACUGUUUGGAUUAUAGAAGUGUGAUGGAGACAGGAACUGGAAGGUGGCACCAUGUUUAUGAUGUGCCCAUUAUCUGCCAGACACAGCGAAAUGCAGCGCUCUCCAUCAUCUUACUUAAUCUCAUAAGAGUCCAGUGUUUUUGCUGUAUUUUAAGAUAAAGAGCUGAAAUUCACAAUAUUUAAAGAAUUCUGCCCCAACUCUUAGAUUUUAAAUAACAAAGCCAGUAGAAGCAUAUUGGGUUCACCCAACUCCAAAGUGUAUGAUUUUCUCAUACACUUGAGGAUAAGAAACUUAUUUUCUAAACAUAAGUCAUAAUAGGCAGUAUCAAUUUAAAGUUUAGCAGAGUCUGAGGCCAUUUCCUUACUGUGAAAUAUCAUGCAUAUUUCCGCAGUAACUGGAAAGCAAAUUAGGGAAGGUUCCCUCCCCCCACUUAAUUUUAUCAAACAAAUGAUCUUACAAUUAUAUAAGAAGUCGCCCAUUAUAUUCUAGCCAGUGGCUUGGCUUCUUGUCCAAACCUCACAGUGAAAUAUGCAGACUUUCUGGAACCACACAUUAAAAUCUCUGCGGUUGAAUCAGCCCUUCCUUUUUCUGCAAAACCUAACCUCAGUACUAUUCAGCAUAUAGAGAACUCCAGGGAUGAGAUCCUUAAAGCCCAGUGUCAAAAGGUGAGUACCUGAUAAUCAUCACCUUAAUUUCACGCUUGUGAAAACUGGCUUUGUCCUAAUUUAUUCUCAGACACGUGGGUCUGUCCUGUGGAGAGGUGCCUUGUUUUAUAGCCUUGUAAAGAGAUUGACCCCAAAUCUGGCAUACAUAUAAAGUAAGGCAAUGAUGUUCUUCUGUAAACAAGCUCAGAAGAAAAUUCCUCAACAGAUAAAUCGGUGAGCUAUUCUGACAUUUCCCAAAUAAGCAUAUAGUCUCCAAGGUGAUUAUUUUGAAUGACAACCCUCCUGUGGGGCAUGAAAUGGAGUAGAUUUGACAGGGCUGCUGAUGAGCCGGAAGAGCACUGAACGUUGAGUCACGAAGCAUCUGUUGGCCUCCCUGCCGGGCAUCCAUCUCCCUGUGAGGCACCUUUGCCUUCUGCUGCUCCCUGAGGGGCAGUGGAAGUCACCUAACCUUUCUGAGCUCCUGCCUGCGUUUGGGACACUGUUGAAUGACACCUGCUGACACAGUUGUGAUUAUCAGGUGAAGCUGACAAUAGAAAACCCCUCAAAACAGUGGGGUGCAGGAACAGAAUGUGGUAACUCAUUCAUGGUUAACCUCCAGGUGAAGUCCCACAGUCCGAAGCCAAGGCCUUCAAGUUCUUAGGAAACAUCAGUGAUGUUAAUAAUUAGUCUUGAAGAGAAAUUCCAGAGUCACCUGUGUGUGUGUGAGGGCCAGUUAUUUCUGUACUCAGCUUGAUAUGGAAAGCCACCAGUAGAAUUCAUUUGUUUAAUUUCACAAGCCCCAGAAGACCAACGGAUGCUGCUUGCUUUGGAAUACUGGAACCAGGUCUCAGCAGUUUUCACCGACUCACUUAAUCCUUGUCUAGAGUUAAUGAGAUCAGAGUAAAUAAACAUACUAAGAACCCAGUGCUUUAAACCUUUAUGGUAUUUUAGGAGGCCAGGAAUGAAGUCAUAUUUAUCUUGUGUAGGACUGGGUUGGGUGAAGAGUAGAGCAAUAAUGAGUCCAUUCUGUCUGUGGGCUCAAAUGCGUCCUUGGAGAUUUCUCCUGGAGGCAAGAUUGUGCUACAGCUAGAAGGCAGAAGGGAGCCAAGACUUCACUCCUUCCUAGUCCUAGUCCUUCCAGGGCAGCUCCUUUGAGUUUUCAGUCACCACCCGUAUAGCUCACAAGCACAGGGAGCUUGAGGGCCAUUUCCGCUCCUACCAGGGAUAAACGGCUGUUGGUCAAGUUACCAAACCUCUCUUUGUCUUGGAUACCUCAUUGGUAAAGUGGGGAAAAUAAUAGAACCAAUUUCUUUCGUGCAUGUAAAGCAUUUGAAGAAGUGAGAAGCUGGAAAAAUGGCAUUUAAAAGCAUCAAUUUGGAAGAUAGAUUGCCUGGGCUCAAAUCCCAGCUCCACCACUCAUUUGCUCAUAUGCUUUUCCAAGAAUAGGGUGGUUAAUAGGACUAGCCUCAUAGGUGAAAUGUGCCAGUGCCUGGGUGGAUCUAACAGGGUCAGCACAUAGGAAGUGCUCUAGGGAUGCCUACUGUUAUAUUAUUACUUGUGUCCGGGAAAAGUCUCAGACAUUGUUUGUAAGGCUAUGGAAAUAAAAAGUUAAAAAUUUCCAACAUUA